CAUGAUUUGAGUAGUCCUAUGAGGAAUCCUGCAUUUUCCUGCCAUUGAAUUUAUAAUUGGUUAAUUUUCUUGAUAAUGCUAAAAAAUUCAUGUUGCUUAUUCUCCUUGAAUUUCCCAAUCAUGUAGACUUAUAGCUUUUCGACUUCAUCUCCUUAUUGCUGACCGUAUGUGAAAAUCCAAUUGCAAAUAUAUGUAUUCCCAAGGGUGUUGCUCAUUCUUUUCUUCCUUGCCAUAGCUUGACGAGUGAGGAAGAAGAGGAAUCCGAAUGUGAAGAACAGGUACUUAUGUAGCAUGGAAUAGUUCUUGGAACGUAAAUUGGGGUUGAUGAAUUAAUUAAUUAACUUGUCAAUUCCAGAUUUUAGUAGCAUCUUAUUGAUUUUUGAAAUUGUGGAACAGAAUAAGUUAUCUUCGAUUUAGAAAGUGGGCUUCGAACAACUCCAAUUGUUGAUAUUUUUUCUAGCUUUCUUCCACGUUUUAUCCAGUUUUCUCACAUUCAGUAUUGGGAUAGCUAAGGUAAUUAUAUUCAACUUACUUUUGCUCGUUUCAUGUUCUUCAUCUAGAAGAAUUCAGUAAAUUUUUCUUUUUUACCUUGGAUAGUGGACCAUGGAUGUUGAAUUGCUCUCUUGUAAAUUGCCAGUAUGUACGAGUCACAAAAAGAGGGUAGUUUCUGGAACAAGUUUUGGACCUUUGAUUAAGACUACAGUUUUUGAAUUUUCAGUUAACUGUAAAUACAAUAUUGAAAUUGUAGACAUAGAUAGUUGACUUCUGAUAUAGGCAUAGACUAUAGUUUCUAUUGCAAUGUAUAGUGUCAAACCAAUUCCUUCUUUUUCUAUAUCUUUAAUCUUCUUCAACAAAUUUGAUUAGUAUAGCUUGGUACCUCUACCAUAAAUUCUUAUUAUUUCAUGAAAUAAAUCAAUGUGUGCUCCAUCUUAUGUAAUUCUUUUUAAAAAUUUUAUUAUUUCAUGAAUUCCUAUUUCCCAAAAAACUGGG
Molecule: long non-coding RNA, 990 nt
Filed under: Olea europaea subsp. europaea
Lineage: Eukaryota; Viridiplantae; Streptophyta; Magnoliopsida; Lamiales; Oleaceae
Source: RNAcentral